CCUCUUUUUACCUCUGCACAAGGAGCAGGGGCUGUGCAGUGAUGCUGUUUUUUGGUGGGAGCCUUAAUCCUGCUCAGGCUGUAAGCUGUGGUGGCACUUGUGGAGUCAGUCGGUGCUCUAAGCAAGGGUGGCCUCUUCAGAAACAUGCAGAGUGGCAAAGGACCAUGAGAGAUUUAUGAUGUCCAUUCCUGGAGAGCGGCAGAUUUUCAAAAGCAAAUGAUAGUGAUUGCAGACUUGAUCCAAUGAAGAUGUAGGAAUGAUUAUUCUCAUUAACGGGGCUGUCGAAACAAUGCUUUGCCCAUUUAUGUGCACUGCUGCUAAACAGUUCUUGAUCUCAGGACCCUUAAUGACGUACGCUGUCAUCCACAGCGUUGCUGGCUGUGCCUGCCCCUA
Molecule: long non-coding RNA, 393 nt
Filed under: Anser brachyrhynchus (Pink-footed goose)
Lineage: Eukaryota; Metazoa; Chordata; Aves; Anseriformes; Anatidae
Description: lncRNA (ENSABRG00000005794.1)
Source: RNAcentral